UCUCCCGAGGCCUCCUGGGAGGAAGGCACAAGAGGCAAGGGAAUGUCAAGAAUGACCCAGUGCGUACCUAGUUGUGCAAGAGCCACUUUCUGCCCCUCCCAGAGCCAAGCCUGGGGCCUAUAAAAGACGUCUUGGCUCCAGCAUCUCAUCUGUUCUGACUCCUCAGGGACGAGUCUGUGCUCCUGCCUGGAAACAGGUUGAAAAGUCCCACCAAGAUGUCCUUCCAGCAAAACCAGCAGCAGUGCCAGCCCCCUCCCAAGUGCCCCCCAAAAUGCUCACCCAAGUGUCCUCCAAAGUGCCCGCCCCAGUGCCCAGCCCCGUGUCCCCCUCCAGUCUCCUCCUGCUGUGGCCCCAGCUCUGGGGGCUGCUGCAGCUCUGGGGGUGGCGGCUGCUGCCUGAGCCACCACAGGCCCCGUCUCUUCCACCGGCAGCGCAGACACCAGAGCUCCGACUGCUGUGAGUAUGAGCCCUCGGGGGGCUCCGGCUGCUGCGGUGGCUCUGGGGGCUGCUGCUGACCGGGAGACUGGGCAUCACGAAGCAAUCCUAAGGGGAAACCUCAAGGCAAGGACCUGCUCUAGAGUUGCUUCUCCUACUCCCUCUUCUCUUCGUGGAACUGAUGGAGCCUAUGAAACGACCUGUUUGUUCUCAUCACCCAAGUGUCCAUCCUGGAUCCUGAUCUUCCUUCCUCUUCUCCCUCAUACAACAAUAAAGCUCUGUUGCCUACUUAA
Long non-coding RNA from Equus quagga, 728 nucleotides. RefSeq lists it as uncharacterized. NCBI's taxonomy places the organism in Eukaryota, Metazoa, Chordata, Mammalia, Perissodactyla, Equidae. The record is from RefSeq and is a predicted model, not a curated record. The transcript is spliced from 2 exons.